RNAcentral lists this ribosomal RNA (229 nucleotides) under uncultured bacterium. RNAcentral describes it as "partial 16S ribosomal RNA". It matches the Rfam family "Bacterial small subunit ribosomal RNA", at positions 118 to 348 of the family's 1533-position model. The record is from RNAcentral.
UGAGCAAUCUGCCCUUCUCAUCGGAAUAAGCGUUGGAAACGACGUCUAAUGCCGAAUACGACCUCCUUUCACAUGAUCGGAGGUGGAAAGCUCCGGCGGAGAAGGAUGAGCUCGCGGCCUAUCAGCUAGUUGGUGUGGGUAAUGGCCCACCAAGGCGACGACGGGUAGCCGGCCUGAGAGGGCGAUCGGCCACACUGGGACUGAGACACGGCCCAGACUCCUAGGGAGG